This 497-nucleotide ribosomal RNA is filed under the name uncultured bacterium. RNAcentral describes it as "partial 16S ribosomal RNA". It matches the Rfam family "Bacterial small subunit ribosomal RNA", at positions 28 to 507 of the family's 1533-position model. The record is from RNAcentral.
GAUGAACGCUGGCGGCGUGCCUAAUACAUGCAAGUCGAGCGGACAGACGAGGAUUUUGCUCCGCUGACGUGAGGGGCGGGCGGGUGAGUCACACGAGUAUACCCUACCUAUAAGACUGAGAUCACUUCGGGAAAGCGGAUCUAACACCGGAGAAUAUAUUGAACCGCGGGGUUCAUUAGAGAAAGACGGUUUUGCUGUCACUACUAGAUGGAUCUGGGCUGGAUUAGCUAGUUGGUACGGUAACGGCUUACCAAGGCUACAAUGCGUAGCCGACCUGAGAGGGUGAUCGGCCACACUGGAACUGAGACACGGUCCAGACUCCUACGGGAGGCAGCAGUAGGGAAUCUUACGCAAUGGGCGAAAGCCUGACGGAGCAACGCCGCGUGAGUGAUGAAGGUCUUCGGAUCGUAAAACUCUGUUAUUAGGGAGGAACAGAUGUGUAAGUAACUAUGCCCGUCUUGACGGUACCUAAUCAGAAAGCAACGGCUAACUACGUG